GAUGAACGCUGGCGGCGUGCCUAACACAUGCAAGUCGAGCGAAGCACUUUGCUUAGAUUCUUCGGAUGAAGAGGAUUGUGACUGAGCGGCGGACGGGUGAGUAACGCGUGGGUAACCUGCCUCAUACGGGGGGAUAACAGUUAGAAAUGACUGCUAAUACCGCAUAAGACCACAGCACCGCAUGGUGCGGGGGUAAAAACUCCGGUGGUAUGAGAUGGACCCGCGUCUGAUUAGCUAGUUGGUAAGGUAACGGCUUACCAAGGCGACGAUCAGUAGCUGACCUGAGAGGGUGACCGGCCACAUUGGGACUGAGACACGGCCCAAACUCCUACGGGAGGCAGCAGUGGGGAAUAUUGCACAAUGGGGGAAACCCUGAUGCAGCGACGCCGCGUGAGCGAAGAAGUAUUUCGGUAUGUAAAGCUCUAUCAGCAGGGAAGAAAAUGACGGUACCUGACUAAGAAGCACCGGCUAAAUACGUGCCAGCAGCCGCGGUAAUACGUAUGGUGCAAGCGUUAUCCGGAUUUACUGGGUGUAAAGGGAGCGUAGACGGAUGGGCAAGUCUGAUGUGAAAACCCGGGGCUCAACCCCGGGACUGCAUUGGAAACUGUUCAUCUAGAGUGCUGGAGAGGUAAGUGGAAUUCCUAGUGUAGCGGUGAAAUGCGUAGAUAUUAGGAGGAACACCAGUGGCGAAGGCGGCUUACUGGACAGUAACUGACGUUGAGGCUCGAAAGCGUGGGGAGCAAACAGGAUUAGAUACCCUGGUAGUCCACGCCGUAAACG
This 780-nucleotide ribosomal RNA is filed under the name uncultured bacterium. RNAcentral describes it as "bacterial SSU rRNA". It matches the Rfam family "Bacterial small subunit ribosomal RNA", at positions 28 to 808 of the family's 1533-position model. The record is from RNAcentral.